AGAGUUUGAUCCUGGCUCAGGAUGAACGCUGGCGGCGUGCUUAACACAUGCAAGUCGAACGAAGCACUUUACCUGAUUUCCUUCGGGGAUGAUUGUUCUGUGACUGAGUGGCGGACGGGUGAGUAACGCGUGGAUAACCUGCCUCACACAGGGGGAUAACAGUUGGAAACGACUGCUAAUACCGCAUAAGCGCACAGCACCGCAUGGUGCAGUGUGAAAAACUCCGGUGGUGUGAGAUGGAUCCGCGUCUGAUUAGCUGGUUGGCGGGGUAACGGCCCACCAAGGCGACGAUCAGUAGCCGGCCUGAGAGGGCGACCGGCCACAUUGGGACUGAGACACGGCCCAGACUCCUACGGGAGGCAGCAGUGGGGAAUAUUGCACAAUGGGGGAAACCCUGAUGCAGCGACGCCGCGUGAGCGAUGAAGUAUUUCGGUAUGUAAAGCUCUAUCAGCAGGGAAGAUAAUGACGGUACCUGACUAAGAAGCUCCGGCUAAAUACGUGCCAGCAGCCGCGGU
This 515-nucleotide ribosomal RNA is filed under the name uncultured bacterium. Its description in RNAcentral is "bacterial SSU rRNA". It matches the Rfam family "Bacterial small subunit ribosomal RNA", at positions 8 to 521 of the family's 1533-position model. The record is from RNAcentral.